This 253-nucleotide ribosomal RNA is filed under the name uncultured bacterium. Its description in RNAcentral is "partial 16S ribosomal RNA". It matches the Rfam family "Bacterial small subunit ribosomal RNA", at positions 524 to 776 of the family's 1533-position model. RNAcentral also lists the same sequence under 1 other name. The record is from RNAcentral.
UACGUAGGGGGCGAGCGUUAUCCGGAUUUAUUGGGCGUAAAGCGCGCGCAGGCGGUCAGGUAAGUCGGAUGUGAAAGGCUACGGCUCAACCGUAGAGCGGCAUCCGAAACUGCUUGACUUGAGUGCAGGAGAGGAGAGUGGAAUUCCCGGUGUAGCGGUGGAAUGCGUAGAGAUCGGGAGGAACACCAGUGGCGAAGGCGACUCUCUGGACUGUAACUGACGCUGAGGCGCGAAAGCGUGGGGAGCAAACAGG